Molecule: long non-coding RNA, 1610 nt
Organism: Pistacia vera
Lineage: Eukaryota; Viridiplantae; Streptophyta; Magnoliopsida; Sapindales; Anacardiaceae
Exons: 2
Source: RefSeq, a predicted model, not a curated record
AGAAAUAGGAUCAAAGAAAUUGGAAUGAAUGAAGAGUUAAUGCAGUUAGAGUACUUCAUUUAAUGCUAGUUUGUUGUUAAAUAAUUUCUCAAUGAAAGUUUCAUAAUCCGAGUGGACAAGCUAACCCAUUGUGGGCUCUUUAAUGACGUGGUUAGAGCAUCUUUCUAAAGGACUUGGAUGUGAACCAAGAAUUUUAUCGUAAUUUCUAACAGGUCAAACUCCGUUCUCUCAUGACUGAACCUGCAAUUUUAUCCUUGUUCUGCAUUUCUUAUUCUAUUGUUUACAGUUCUAUCAUUUGCAUGGAGUUGGCAGCUCAAUGCUGUGGCAUUUCUGCUAGGAACUCGUGCUUGCAAGUUGGAUCUGGUGUCAGUACUAAUGAUUCAACUGAACAAUGUAGAGUUCCUCCUUGUUAGGGAUUGGUAUCGGUAGAAGGGACAACAGACAUUUUUUUCCCCUUAUCUAUAUUAGGAAAUUGUUGGUUGUCUUUGAAGACUCCUAGUCAUAUGUGUUUUCAGUAGCAUGUCUCUUGAUAUUGUGCUUGAAGUAGUCAGUCAUCUUUAAUGCUUAGUUCUCUCUUUCCCGAUCAAAUUCAUGGGGUUUAGGUUGCAGAUGCAAAGCUGUGUCUUAACCCUUACAGGCUUUUACCCCCAAGUGAGUUGGAUUCCUUUCUUGGAAAUGGAUCAUAAUGCUUGGCAUGCGUUUUCUACCAAAUGCAGAAAAAAUUGUAAAUGUGCACUUUAACUUAAGAGGUCUAAUGCCUACUUGCAACAUACCGAAAUGGAUGAAAUGCAGACCCAUGGGCCAUGCUACGAAAUCUCCUAAUCUUAUGAACAUAUAAGAUAUUAACAUUGAAUGUAGUGUCAUUAUUUUGUGAUACCUGAGAGACACCUUCUUGGAUCUCUGUAUUAGAAAGACUACGGAGUCCACUUGAAGAUAACCUUUAGGGAUAUAGACAUCCGUAGGUUUGACUUUAGGCAUCGUUGUAGAGGGUAGCCUUUCAUAUCUCUUGAAUGUUGGUACAGUCCAAGUUCUUGAUGCCGCAUCUUAUAUACUGUGAUAAUUUUUUGAAGGGGAAUGGCGAGGCACUGUAAUUACCUUGGGGACUUAUUGCUGGCGUUGUCCUUCAGUUUACCUUGUGGGAUAAGUUCAGCGGUUCCUUAUUUUUACCCUAUUUAUCUUCUUAUUCUGCUAAUAUGGAGAGAGAGAAGAGAUGAAGUUCGCUGUGCAGAGAAGUAUAGAGAAAUAUGGGCAGAAUACUGUAGACUUGUUCCAUGGAGAAUAUUACCAUAUGCUUAUUAGCAAAAAGGUUGUGGAAUAUCUGCUGGGAGGCUUUCAGUUCUGCUGGGGGAGGGAAUUUUUGCCCUUGGGUUUCCCAUCACCAAUUCUCUAUAAUCCACAUGAUUUUCAAAACUUUACAAAGACACCCAAAAUCUAAUUGCCGUUUAUGAUCUGUCAUAAUUCAAUAUGUUUGAGCAAAAUUUAUACUAGCUCAAAAUAAGAUGGUGGAUUGUAUUCCCGCUUAAUUAUAAAAAGUAUAAGACUAUGAAUGGAGUAUAUGUUGGAAACAUAGACAAAAUAGUACAGCGACACUAAUUGAUGGUUUCUAUAUA